RNAcentral lists this ribosomal RNA (435 nucleotides) under uncultured bacterium. RNAcentral's name for it is "partial 16S ribosomal RNA". It matches the Rfam family "Bacterial small subunit ribosomal RNA", at positions 29 to 507 of the family's 1533-position model. The record is from RNAcentral.
AGCGAACGCUGGCGGCAGGCCUAACACAUGCAAGUCGAGCGGUAACUUUCGGGUGUCAGCGGCGGACGGGUGAGUAACGCGUGGGAACGUGACCACAGGUUCGGAAUAACGAAGGGAAACUUGAGCUAAUACCGGAUACGCCCUUUUGGGUAGAGGCUUGGUGCUGGAGGAUCGGCGCGCGUCUUAUUAGCUAGUUGGUGAGGUAACGGCUCACCAGGGCGACGAGUAGUAGCUGGUCUGAGAGGAUGAUCAGCCACACUGGAACUGAGACACGGCCCAGACUCCUACGGGAGGCAGCAGUGGGGAAUAUUGGACAAUGGGCGAAAGCCUGAUGCAGCCAUGCCGCGUGAGUGAUGAAGGCCUUAGGGUCGUAAAGCGCUUUUAUCCGGGAAGAUUAUGACGGUACCGUAGGAAUAAGCCACGGCUAACUACGUG